UGUGUCCAAAUCUUCUCAGAGCUGAAGUGAUGCUGAAUACGUGAUACGGCCAGAUCUGCCAUCAGACCUACUGAAUACGUGAUACGGCCAGAUCUGCCAUCAGACCUACUGAAUACGUGAUACGGCCAGAUCUGCCAUCAGACCUACUGAAUACGUGAUACGGCCAGAUCUGCCAUCAGACCUACUGUGUGAUUUCUCUGUCAGGAACUAGUCUGUCUGGAUAAGGAAUAAUGUCCCAGAUUCUAACAAGCAGCACCGUCAGUUACUGGAGGUCUGUUCUCUCGGUCUGGCCACAUGUUGAAUCACUACUGUAGUAGUUGCUGUCACAACUCUUCCGUCCUGUUGGAAUGAGAAGAAGAAGGGGGGAAAAAACACUGAGAAUGACCAGAUUAAACUGUCCUGAUGACUGAGGGCUGGUGACAAUGGUCACUAUGAUGCUCUGAGACCCAGCCGGGCGUUUGAGUUCACACGGGACCCGUCUGUGGGGCAGAUAGCUCUGGCUUUCCUCCAGGCCUCCUUUGCCUUCAGCGGCUGGAACUUCCUGAACUACGUCACUGAGGAGGUGGUCGAGCCACGCAAGAACCUGCCCCGGGCUAUCUACAGUAAUAAUAUCUAUCUCUAUAGGAACCUGCCCCGGGCUAUCUACAGUAAUAAUAUCUAUCUCUAUAGGAACCUGCCCCGGGCUAUCUACAGUAAUAAUAUCUAUCUCUAUAGGAACCUGCCCCGGGCUAUC
This is a long non-coding RNA of Coregonus clupeaformis (lake whitefish), 733 nucleotides long. RefSeq lists it as uncharacterized. The transcript is spliced from 3 exons. The record is from RefSeq and is a predicted model, not a curated record. Lineage: Eukaryota; Metazoa; Chordata; Actinopteri; Salmoniformes; Salmonidae.